CCUGCACAAACAGCACAAUGAAGAAACGUUGGAGAGUUAGAACUUAGGCAUUGCAAAGUAGUGUCUGAUCAAAUCUACUAUUACUGAGCUAUAGGUACCACAGAUAUGAAUAUAUUUGUGCUGCCAGACCUCAAUUUACAGAAGGCUUUUUUUUUACCAAAACAAGAGAAAU
Long non-coding RNA from Aquila chrysaetos chrysaetos, 172 nucleotides. RefSeq lists it as uncharacterized. The record is from RefSeq and is a predicted model, not a curated record. The transcript has 2 exons. Lineage: Eukaryota; Metazoa; Chordata; Aves; Accipitriformes; Accipitridae.